RNAcentral lists this ribosomal RNA (460 nucleotides) under uncultured bacterium. RNAcentral describes it as "partial 16S ribosomal RNA". It matches the Rfam family "Bacterial small subunit ribosomal RNA", at positions 338 to 795 of the family's 1533-position model. The record is from RNAcentral.
CCUACGGGAGGCAGCAGUGAGGAAUAUUGGUCAAUGGGCUUACGCCUGAACCAGCCAAGUCGCGUGAGGGAAGACUGCCCUAUGGGUUGUAAACCUCUUUUGUCAGGGAGCAACGCCGGCUACGUGUAGCCGGACUGAGAGUACCUGAAGAAAAAGCAUCGGCUAACUCCGUGACAGCAGGCGCGGUAAUACGGAGGAUGGAAGCGUUAGCCGGAUUUACUGGGGUUGAAGUGUGCGUAGGCGGAAUGCCAAGUCAGCGGUAAAAUCGCGGGACUCAACCGCGCUCCGGCCUUGAUACUGGCGUUCUUGAGGGAGCGAGAGGUAUGCGGAAUGCGUGGUGGAGCGGUGAAAUGCAUAGAUAUCACGCAGAACUCCGAUGGCGAAGGCAGCAUACCGGCGCCAAACUGACGCUGAAGCACGAAAGCGUGGGUAGCGAACAGGAUUAGAUACCCCAGUAGUC